AAACUAUUUGAGGCUAGCAUUGCAAUGGGGGACCAUGGCUGGAGACUGUCUCUCUUUGAACAUUAUGCAAGACAGGUUGCAGAUUGUCAGCUUGCUAUGUUAAUACUAUUGGGAAAUAUCAAUCUGUAGGGGCAUAUGCAACUGCAACAUAGCUGAAUGAAUUUGUGACUCAGAAGUGAGCUCAUUUAGGCCCAGCAGAUAUGAUGAACAAUAAAGAUGAGGUUCCAUAUCUUAGGAAAAGCAUGACCAGAAAGCCAACAAAGAUUCUAAUAGAGUUUUUAGUUAGGUUCAGUC
Molecule: long non-coding RNA, 294 nt
Filed under: Homo sapiens (human)
Lineage: Eukaryota; Metazoa; Chordata; Mammalia; Primates; Hominidae
Description: non-protein coding lnc-PGM3-2:1
Source: RNAcentral